UUGCAUCUUGACACCAAAUACAGGAUUUUUGCCACAGCUACAGAGCUAGUUGGAUUCAAGCUGAUGUCAAAAAGUCACCAGGAAGGAAAAUAAAGCUUGAACAAUACUGGUGAGCCUUUGAAUUAUAAGAAGAGAAUAUAAGGAUAAACUUACUCUUCCUGCUGUCAC
Long non-coding RNA from Dendronephthya gigantea, 168 nucleotides. RefSeq lists it as uncharacterized. The record is from RefSeq and is a predicted model, not a curated record. NCBI's taxonomy places the organism in Eukaryota, Metazoa, Cnidaria, Anthozoa, Malacalcyonacea, Nephtheidae. The transcript has 3 exons.